GAUGAAGAACGUAGUGAAAUGCGAUACUUGGUGUGAAUUGCAGAAUCCCGUGAACCAUCGAGUCUUUGAACGCAAGUUGCGCCCGAAGCCAUUAGGCCGAGGGCACGCCUGCCUGGGCGUCACACGUCGUUGCCCCCCCCAUCUACUCCUUCGGGAUUGCGGGGGGCGGAUGAUGGCCUCCCGUGCGCCUCGUCGCGCGGUUGGCAUAAAUGCCAAGUCCUCGGCGACGCACGCCACGACAAUCGGUGGUUGCGAAACCUCGGUUGCCCGUCGUGUGCGGUCGUCGCGCAUCGAGGGCUCGAAAAAAUUGCCGGGCUCCGGCUCGGCUUUCAACGCGACCCCAGGUCAGGCGGGGUUACCCGCUGAAUUUAAGCAUAUCAAUAAGCGGAGGA
RNAcentral lists this unclassified non-coding RNA (392 nucleotides) under soil metagenome. RNAcentral describes it as "partial contains 5.8S ribosomal RNA, internal transcribed spacer 2, and large subunit ribosomal RNA". The stretch from base 1 to 122 matches the Rfam family "5.8S ribosomal RNA", at positions 35 to 154 of the family's 154-position model. The record is from RNAcentral.